This 73-nucleotide transfer RNA is filed under the name Rattus norvegicus (Norway rat). It matches the Rfam family "tRNA". From Rfam's summary of the family: Transfer RNA (tRNA) molecules are approximately 80 nucleotides in length. Their secondary structure includes four short double-helical elements and three loops (D, anti-codon, and T loops). Lineage: Eukaryota; Metazoa; Chordata; Mammalia; Rodentia; Muridae. The record is from Rfam by way of RNAcentral.
GGAGAGGUGACUCAGUGAUUAAGAGCACUGGCUGUUCUUCCAGAGAACCUGGGUUCAAUUCUCAGCAUCCCCA